Molecule: unclassified non-coding RNA, 2953 nt
Filed under: uncultured fungus
Lineage: Eukaryota; Fungi
Description: sequence contains 18S rRNA gene, ITS1, 5.8S rRNA gene, ITS2, 28S rRNA gene
Rfam family: Bacterial large subunit ribosomal RNA (bases 594-2953)
Source: RNAcentral
GGCUGGAUCACCUCCUUUCUAGGGAGUCUCGGAGGCCCUCGGGCCUUCGAUGUCCCAGGUCGAGUUCGGUCUAGGUGGGCGGCUCAUGUCGCACUGCCGAAGAGCUGUGAAUCCCGGGUUCUCCCGGUGACUCGUUCGAUCGGGGCAGCUUUCGACCGUUCAACCGUCACUGUCGCCGCACGUCAUUCGUUUUUCGGGGACCGAGCGCAGGAGCGCGGUCGCUCGAGCGGACUGGAUUCGAUCGCUUCGGAUGGGCCUGUAGCUCAGCCCGGUUAGAGCGUCCGCCUGAUAAGCGGGAGGUCGGUAGUUCAAGUCUACCCAGGCCCACCACUCGCUCGUUUUGCUGGGGCUGUAGCUCAGCUGGGAGAGCGCGGGCUUUGCAAGCCUGAGGUCGUCGGUUCGAUCCCGAUCAGCUCCACCAGACCGUUCCCGAUACCCAAAUCGAUUCGCUCCCUUCGUGGGAGCACGGCUCGAUACAAGCCGGAACCGAUCGGUCUUUGACAACCGAAUAGAUUUCUGGGUCCAAGUGGAAGUAGUGCCUUGGCAGCGGGCCGAUCUAUUCGAUCGGUCGCGCGAGAGUUCAAUGAAUAUUUGGUCAAGCAGCAAAGGGCAAACGGUGGAUGCCUUGGCGCCAGAAGGCGAUGAAGGACGUGGUUAGCUGCGAUAAGCCACGGGGAGCUGCUAAACGAGCUUUGAUCCGUGGAUUUCCGAAUGGGGGAAACCUGGCCGGGGUCAUGCCCGGUCGUCUCACUGCUGAAUUCAUAGGCGGUGAGAAGCAAACCCGGGGAACUGAAACAUCUCAGUACCCGGAGGAAUGGAAAUCAACCGAGACUCCCCUAGUAGCGGCGAGCGAACGGGGAACAGCCUAAACCGGCGGGAAGCAAUUCCUUCCGGGGUCGUGGGACUCCGCCAUGGGACUUCGAUGGGUAGCAGAAGGAGAUGUGAAAGCUCCGCCAGAGCGGGUGAUAGCCCCGUAUGCGAAACCCUGACGAGCCCUAGGAGUAUCCCGAGUACCGCGGGGCACGAGAAACCCCGUGGGAAUCUGGGUGGACCAUCAUCCAAGGCUAAGUACUAACUGGCGACCGAUAGUGAACCAGUACCGUGAGGGAAAGGCGAAAAGAACCCCGGCGAGGGGAGUGAAAUAGAACCUGAAACCGUUUGCCUACAUACAGUGGGAGCACAAUGACGUCUUCGGACGUCCAGUGUGACUGCGUACCUUUUGUUUAACGGGUCCGCGAGUUACUCCUCGGCAGCAUGGUUAAGCCGAUAGGCGUAGCCGUAGCGAAAGCGAGUCUGAAUAGGGCGCUCGUUGCCGGGGGUAGACCCGAAACCGGGUGAUCUACCCAUGGCCAGGUUGAAGCUCGGGUAAUACCGAGUGGAGGACCGAACCGCAGCAGAUUGAAAACUGCCCGGAUGAGCCGUGGGUAGGGGUGAAAGGCCAAUCAAACCCGGAGAUAGCUGGUUCUCCCCGAAAUAUAUUGAGGUAUAGCCUCACGUGAUCGCCACCGGAGGUAGAGCACUGGAUGGGCUAGGGGCCCUACCAGGUUACCGAACCCAACCAAACUCCGAAUACCGGUGAGUGCAGCGUGGGAGUCAGACUGCGGGCGAUAAGGUUCGUAGUCGAGAGGGAAACAGCCCAGACCGCCAGCUAAGGUCCCAAAUCCGCGCUAAGUGGGAAAGGAAGUGGGAGCGCAUAGACAACCAGGAGGUUGGCUUAGAAGCAGCCAUCCUUUAAAAAGUGCGUAAUAGCUUACUGGUCUAGUGAGCCCGCGCCGAAAUGUAACGGGGCUCAAGCGCGGUACCGAAGCUGCGGGCUCGAGAUGCCCUCGGGUGUCUCGAGCGGUAGGGGAGCGUUCCAGUUGCCUGCGAAGCCCGAUCGAGAGAACGGGUGGAGGUCCUGGAAGUGCCUAUGCGGACACGAGUAGCGAUAAACAGGGCGAGAAACCCUGUCGCCGUAAGCCCAAGGGUUCCUGAGUAAAGCUAAUCUGCUCAGGGUUAGUCGGUCCCUAAGCCGAGGGCGAACGCCGUAGGCGAUGGGAAACGGGUUAAUAUUCCCGUACCACCAGUCAUCCCGUUCGACCGAAGGGGGGACGGAGAAGGGUAGCCGGGCCGGGUGUUGGAAAUCCCGGUUCAAGCCUGUAGGCGGGUGGCGUAGGCAAAUCCGCGCCGCCAUUCAACGCCGAGAGGUGACGUCGAGAGCUUCGGCUCACAAAGCCGGUGAUCCCACGCUUCCUAGAAAAUCCUCGUAGGGAGGAUGUCUGGUGACCGUACCGCAAACCGACUCAGGUGGGCGGGCAGAGCAUGCCAAGGCGCUUGAGACAACUCUGGUCAAGGAACUCGGCAAAUUGACACCGUAACUUCGGGAGAAGGUGUGCCCCGAAUCGUGAAAGGACUUGCUCCUCGAGCGAAACGGGGUUGCAGAGAGCAGGGGGGUAGCGACUGUUUACUAAAAACACAGGACUCUGCGAAGUCGCAAGACGACGUAUAGGGUCUGACGCCUGCCCGGUGGCCGGAAGGUUAAGGGGAUCCGUCAGCCGCAAGGCAAAGCGAUGAACCGAAGCCCCGGUAAACGGCGGCCGUAACUAUAACGGUCCUAAGGUAGCGAAAUUCCUUGUCGGGUAAGUUCCGACCUGCACGAAUGGCGUAACGACUUCCCCACUGUCUCGACCAGAGACUCAGCGAAACUGAAUUGCCGGUGAAGAUGCCGGCGACCCGCGGCGGGACGGAAAGACCCUGUGCACCUUUACUACAACUUCGCAGUGAUCGUCGGUUCAGCAUGUGUAGGAUAGGUGGGAGGCUUUGAAGCCGGGACGCUAGUCUCGGUGGAGCCAACCUUGAAAUACCACCCUUGUUGUGCUGCCGAUCUAACCUAGGCCCGUAAUCCGGGUCGGGAACACUGCGUGGUGGGUAGUUUGACUGGGGCGGUCGCCUCCCAAAGAGUAACGGAGGCGCG